This 4601-nucleotide long non-coding RNA is filed under the name Homo sapiens (human). RNAcentral's name for it is "HSALNT0191125". Lineage: Eukaryota; Metazoa; Chordata; Mammalia; Primates; Hominidae. The record is from RNAcentral.
UCUUGUCUUUCUUAGAAUAUUAGUUAUAAUUGUAAUUUAUAAGCUUUCUUCUUCUGUUCCAUCUACUCUUUCUAUUCCUUAAAAGUUUUUUGUUGUUGUUGUUGUUGUUGUUGUUUUGAUGUAGUCUCGCUCUGUUGCCAGUCUGGAGUGCAGUGGCACAGUCUUGGCUCACUGCAACCUCUGCCUCCCAGAUUCAAACGAUUCUCCUGCCUCAGCCUCCUGAGUAGCUGGGACUACAGGUGCAUGCCACCACACCCAGCUAAUUUUUGUGUGUGUGUGUGUGUUUUUUAGUAGAGACAGGGUUUCACUAUGUUGGCCAGGCUGGUCUCGAACUCCUGACCUCGUGAUCUGCCUGCCUCAGCCUCCCAAAGUCCUGGGAUUACAGGCGUGAGCCACCGCGCCUGGCCAUAAGUUCAUUUUUUAAAGUUUUGGGGGUUUUUUCUAUAUUUUGUAUUGGAAUCUUUCUUCUAUAUGUCUUCUAAUAUCUGGUGACCCUUGGUGGUCUCUUGAUUUAAGAAUGAGGCAAUAAAAAGUCCAUUGCAACCUCUGUGCAUGGCAGGUUGAUUAGGCAGGGCUCUCUUCCUCUUUCCCAAAAUGCUUUUCUCUUGGGAAGCCAGCAGCUCCAAUAACAAAUAUUCUAAUCUCCUCCCUGAAGAUGGUGUACUGUAAGUCUGUCAGCUAGUGUCUAAAGCCAAUGGUAUAAAAAGGCUGGAGACCUCAUUGUUCAAUAUGUAGACUGUCACUGAAUGCCCAAUAGUUGCAGGGUCCAGAGUUGUUCGGGUUCAAUCUCUCCAGAUAGAAGCAUUUCUUUUUUCUGCAAGAAUGGGUCUAUCUAUCAGUCAGGUUAAUUAAAGAACACAGAAACCAAUGUAGAUUUUUUUUUUUUUAGCAGAGAAAGAUUUAAUUCAAGUAAUUAGGAAUUUCCAAAUUUAUUGGAAGGGCUUGAGAAGAAGGCUACACCAGUUCACAGUAUACAACAGUGAACAAAACAGACCAAAACAACUCUUAGUUCAUGGAGUUUACAUUCUAGUGUAGAAAGAGAAGCAAUAAACACAAUAAAAAAGCAAAAUUUGUUAUAUGUUAAAUUUUACAUACUUUAUGAUAAGUGCUAUAGAGAGAAAUAAAGCAGGGAAGCCGGAUAGGAUUUCUGGGACCAUUUAAAAUAGAGUGGUGAAGGAAGGCCUCACUGAUAAGGUGACAUUUGAGUAAAAUCCUAAAGAAAGCAAGGAAGCAGGCCAUAGAGAUAUUUGGUGGAAGGGCAUCUUAGGUAAAGGGAACAACAGAUGCAAGGGCCCUGAAGUGGGAGCAUAAAUUAUGUAUUUAAGAAACAGCAAGGAAGCUACUGUGGCUAAAGCUGAAUGAGAAAAGUGAGGGUCAUAAGAGAUGAGAUCUGAGCAGUAAGAUGGGGAGUGUGUGUGUGUGUGUGUGUGUGUGUGUGUGUGUGUGUGUUUGCAUGUGUGCAAAAUGUAAGGCAUUGUGGACCAUUAUAAUGAUUUUUUUCUCUUGGUGAGGUGAUAUUUUUCCAUUUGAGGAAAGGAAAAUUUGGACAAAGGAAUAACACAGUCUUACUGUUUUAAAAGGCGCACUCUUGGGGACAAGAGCAGGAGUAAACUGAGUGGCUUUCAGAAUAACCUGGACAAGAGAUGAUAGUGGCUUGGACUAUGAUAGUGAUGCAGGUGGUAAAAAGUGAUUAGAGAUAAUUAAAAGAUAACCCAUGAGUAAUUAUGACCCAACUAAGCUUGGGUAACAUUCAUUGGGUAGUUAUUGAUUAACUUUUGUUUUCCUACUCUAGAGGAACUUUCUCUAGUAAUGCCUAGGAGCUGAGGCUGUGAUGGAGAAUGCAAAGGUGACCACCCCAUUGGUGGGGAUUGGUAUGGCUGUAACAGUAAGUGGGCAAAGAUGAUCAUGGCUUGGGCCAAGGUGGUACUAGUAAAGGUGGUGAGAAGUUUCCAGACUCUGGAUUUAUUUUGAAAAUAAAACCAAGAUUUGUUGAUAAAUUGGGCAUGGAAUGCAAGCAAAAGUGAGAAAUCAGUGUGACUGUAGUUUUUUGUCCCCUUUUUUUUUGUUAUUGUUGGAGUUUACAUUAGUGAUAAUGACAAGACUUCAAGAAGAACAGAUUUUGUGGGAAAUAUCAGGAGCUCAUUUUGAACCUGCUGAGUUCGAGAUGCCUUUGAUACAUCUAAAUGUAGAUGCCAAGUUGGCAACUGGAUAUAUGAGCAUAGAGCUCAGGAGAGUUUAAAGAAAAUUUUAUUAGUUAACAUUGUUGAGGUAACUAACAAGCACCAAAUCUCAGUGGAUUACAGCAACAAACGUUCAUUUCCUGCUCUUGCUACAUAUGGGCUACAGAUUGAUUACAGCUCUGCUCUAGGUUGUGGGCCAGCAAAUAGGUCGGAUUCAAGUGUCUUCUAAUCUUGUGCCUAGGCUAAAAGAACAGCCCCUGUCUGUGCUAUACUCGUGGCAAAGGGCAGAAGCAAGAGAGACCAAACUAAUCCAUUCAAUCCAGUUUAAAGAUUCUCCUUGCAUAUGGUGUACACCACGUAUUUCCAUUCUAUUCCAUUCCACCAGCCAAAAAAAGUCACAUAACUCAGCCCUGCAAUGUGGCAAAAAAUGUAUACUCUGCUCAGCAGAGGCAUUUAAAGACAAAUCCAAAGGGUGCGGAUGUAUAAUAGUCAUAGAAGGGAGAAAGCAAGUAGUUGUAAACCAUAAUUUAAUCUACCACAAAGUGAGUAUAGAUAGUGAAGAGAAGAAAUCCAAAGCCUGAGAUAUUUCAAUAUUCAGAGGUCAGGGAAAUAAGGAGAAACCAACAAAGGAGACUGAGAAGGAAGAGAUAGUAAGGUAGGGAGAAACAUUGGAAGUCAAGAAAAGAAAGUGUCUCCAGAAGAAAGGAGGGAUCAGCUGUGUCCCAUACUGCUCAUAGGUCAAGCAAGAUGUGGGCUGACAUUGACCAUUACAUUUAGCAAUGUGGAAAUAUUGAGUGAUAGUGAUGACAGAGUUAAUGGCAUGGUGGGGGAUGCUAUGGUUUGAAUGUCUGUCCCCUCCCACACAAGUUGAAGUUUAAUUGCUAUUGUGACAGUAUUAAAAGGUGGGAUAUUUAAGAGGUAAUUAGGUCAUGAGCACUCUACCCUCAUGAAUGGAUUAAUGCCAUUAUCUCAGAAAUAGAGUUGUUAUCGUUGGAGUAGAAUCCUUAUAAAAGGAUGAGUUCAGCUCUGUUUUGUCUCUCUCACCCUCUCUUUGCCCUUCUGCCAUGGGAUGCUGUCCACCAUGGGAUGAUGCAGCAAGAAGGCCCUGGCAAGAUGCACUUUUCAAUCUUGGACUUCCCAGCCUCCAGAAGUGUGAGCCAAUAAAUCUCUGAGGGUUCUGUUCUAUGUCAUUUCCUUUGAAGUCAGUGGGAACUCUGUGCAGGACGGCAACAUGAACACCGGCCUCUAUACAUGAAGGCCAUCAAGUGGUUAACAUAUAGACAGUAUUUAAAUCCUUGGGACUGGAUGAGAUUACCAAGGGAGGAAAUGUAGAUGAAGGAGAAGAGAAAGGAUGGAGUUCUGGAGCACUACAAAUUUAAGAGACUGGGGAGAAGAGGAGAAACCCAGAAAAUCUACCUUGGAGAUCACUGCGUAAUACUACACUGGGAGCAGUAUCAUUCUUUGAAAUAAUAAUUAUAAUGUAAUAUAAUAGUUAUAAACUAUUCCAGUGUGUGAACAUGCCCUUUAUUCAAGCAGUUCUCUACCAGUAGCUUCUUAACUGGUCUUCCUGCUCUCAGUUUAUCCUUACUCCAAUCCUUUGUAAAUACUGCUUAUGCUAACCUUGGAUUAAUCUUAGUUAUUUAUGCCUGCAUGAAAAAUGGAAAAAUUGGACACAUAUUGCAUUUAUAUAAUGAAAUACAAUGCAGUUUAUUAAAAAUCAUGUUGAAAAACCCACAACAUAAUGUUGAAUUAAAAAAACAUAAUCCCAGUCUACACACACACACACACACACACGUGCACACACAUAAAUAUAUGACCAGAAAUAAAAUGCUGUACAUUUAGCCAUCAAAGUUUAACAUAUUUAUGGAUGAUGGAUUUCCAAGUAAUUUUUAUUUUCAUUUUUUAUUUUACUAUUAUGUAUGUAUGUAUGUAUGUAUGUAUGUAUGUAUGUAUUUAUUGAGACAAAAUCUCACUCUGUCACCCAGGCUGGAGCGCAGUGGUGCGAUCUCGGCUCACUGCAACCUCUAUGUCCCAGUUUCAAGAGAUUCUCCUGCUUCAGUCUCUGAGUAGCUGGGAUUAUAGGUGCACGCCAAUUUUUAUUCUAUUUUUGGUGGUUUUCUGUGUUUUGCAAAUUUUCUUCAUAAAAAAAGAAAGAUUUUUAGAAAGCAUACUUUAAUCAUGUUGCUUCACGGGAAACCAGCUUUGAUUCUUUACUGCCUAAAAAGAUAAUGUCCAAAUAUCUUAAUUUAGUAGUGAAGGCCCUUCAGAGCAGAGGCCCAACCUACUUACUCAAAGUUUUCUCCUAGUUGGCACAAACCCUUUGUUGCAGUUAAAAGGAUCUGCUCAAGGUCUGCUAGAUGUGCUUGGUACUUUGCUGCAUCUGUACUUUUUUUUUAAUGCUAGGAUCCUUUUCAUGUCCCU